CCCUUAGAUGUCCGGGGCUGCACGCGCGCCACACUGAGUGGAUCAGCGUGUGUCUACCCUUCGCCGAGAGGCGUGGGUAACCCGCUGAACCCCACUCGUGAUAGGGAUUGGGGAUUGCAAUUAUUUCCCAUGAACGAGGAAUUCCCAGUAAGCGCGGGUCAUAAGCUCGCGUUGAUUAAGUCCCUGCCCUUUGUACACACCGCCCGUCGCUACUACCGAUUGGAUGGUUUAGUGAGGUCCUCGGAUCGGCCCCGCCGGGGUCGGUCACGGCCCUGGCGGAGCGCCGAGAAGACGAUCAAACUUGACUAUCUAGAGGAAGGAGAAGUCGUAACA
RNAcentral lists this ribosomal RNA (333 nucleotides) under uncultured eukaryote. RNAcentral describes it as "partial 18S ribosomal RNA". It matches the Rfam family "Eukaryotic small subunit ribosomal RNA", at positions 1470 to 1796 of the family's 1831-position model. The record is from RNAcentral.